RNAcentral lists this small RNA (28 nucleotides) under Bombyx mori (domestic silkworm). Its description in RNAcentral is "ovarian small RNA-5711". The record is from RNAcentral. Lineage: Eukaryota; Metazoa; Arthropoda; Insecta; Lepidoptera; Bombycidae.
UAACUCUAAAUAAUUGGGUUUGUAAUGC